This 344-nucleotide unclassified non-coding RNA is filed under the name soil metagenome. RNAcentral describes it as "partial contains 5.8S ribosomal RNA, internal transcribed spacer 2, and large subunit ribosomal RNA". The stretch from base 1 to 119 matches the Rfam family "5.8S ribosomal RNA", at positions 35 to 154 of the family's 154-position model. The record is from RNAcentral.
GAUGAAGAACGUAGUGAAAUGCGAUACGUAAUGUGAAUUGCAAAUUCAGUGAAUCAUCGAGUCUUUGAACGCACAUUGCGCCCCCUGGUAUUCCGGGGGGCAUGCCUGUCCGAGCGUCAUUGCUGCCCUCAAGCACGGCUUGUGUGUUGGGCCCCGUCCUCCGAUCCCGGGGGACGGGCCCGAAAGGCAGCGGCGGCACCGCGUCCGGUCCUCGAGCGUAUGGGGCUUUGUCACCCGCUCUGUAGGCCCGGCCGGCGCUUGCCGAUCAACCCAAAUUUUUAUCCAGGUUGACCUCGGAUCAGGUAGGGAUACCCGCUGAACUUAAGCAUAUCAAUAAGCGAGGA